This 497-nucleotide ribosomal RNA is filed under the name uncultured bacterium. RNAcentral describes it as "partial 16S ribosomal RNA". It matches the Rfam family "Bacterial small subunit ribosomal RNA", at positions 28 to 507 of the family's 1533-position model. The record is from RNAcentral.
GAUGAACGCUGGCGGCGUGCCUAAUACAUGCAAGUCGAGCGAACAGACGAUGAGCUUGCUCCUCUGACGUUAGCGGCGGACGGGUGAGUAACACGUGGAUAACCUACCUAUAAGACUGGGAUAACUUCGGGAAACCGGAGCUAAUACCGGAUAAUAUAUUGAACCGCAUGGUUCAAUAGUGAAAGACGGUUUUGCUGUCACUUAUAGAUGGAUCCGCGCCGGAUUAGCUAGUUGGUAAGGUAACGGCUUACCAAGGCAACGAUGCGUAGCCGACCUGAGAGGGUGAUCGGCCACACUGGAACUGAGACACGGUCCAGACUCCUACGGGAGGCAGCAGUAGGGAAUCUUCCGCAAUGGGCGAAAGCCUGACGGAGCAACGCCGCGUGAGUGAUGAAGGUCUUCGGAUCGUAAAACUCUGUUAUUAGGGAAGAACAAAUGUGUAAGUAACUAUGCACGUCUUGACGGUACCUAAACAGAAAGCCACGGCUAACUACGUG